CUGAACCUGAAUCUGUCUCUCUGUCUGAGUCUGAACCUGUCUGUCUGUUUAAGGCUCAGCCUGUCUCUUUCUCAGCCUGAGACUGAAACUGUCUUUAUUGACAGGACAUGGACAGACAUCUUUAGGCUCAGACAGAGGUAAUGAAUUUUAAAGGUCUUCACGAACACAAUUCAGACUCAACCUGCCAGAAACUGAGUAACUAAUUAGCUCAGUGUAAGACUUUGCGUUUCAAUUUAUGAGCUCCAUUUUGAGUUGCACCUGGUCUCAUGGUUAGCAUCGACUAACCAAACUGUAACUGCUUAUAAUGAGACCUCUAACUUAAAAAUCGGGGAAAGCCUUUACUUUUCUGGCGUUUUGCCAUCACGGGGACCCUUCCUCACACCCGUCACAGUCGUCCACUUCUAGCUCCGUAAACAGGGGAAAAGCCUCCUUCCUGUUUAAUCAGAGAUCAGAUCCAGACUGCAAAGAAUCCAAAGUCAGAUUUUUGUUUAAUGUGUUUGUUUAAACACAGAGACACAGAAAACCCUGAACCACCUGCCGCCUCUCCUCUCAAUUAUCUGUUUCUUAUCUGUCCAGGCUCCAUCGCUGCCUCAUUGAUUUUUGUCUGUUGCCAUGACAGCAGAUGGUCCCGCUAGUUUUGAAGACGCAACACCGACUCAUUGUGUCGACCUGGGUCAGACAGACCUGACUCCCAACUUUCCUGUUCCUCUGUUACUCAGGCCCACCCGACACUGUUGAUGGAGCCUUUGGUUUCUCUGGUGGAGUUAUUUUUAUUCAGUAGUUUCUUUUCAUUGUUCCCUUGUUUGAAAAAGGAAGCUCAAGUUAUCUCUCUUUUGCCUGUAAAACAUAGAAAGGAUGUUAUUUUGCUGUGGUUACACAUGUCUCAGGACCAGGUUAGAUAUCUUCAUUCUCUGCAUAGAAAACAUAAAAGCUUUCGCUUCCUUUUUGCAGCUUUACCGUUAAGUCCACUUAGUCCUUUUGUUUUGCAGACAAAUAGCUCAGAAAAGUAGGGAUGUUCUCUGUUAUCCCAUCGCAAACUACAAAUAAUAAUUAUAAUAGUAAUAAUAUUAACAAAUGUAAUGUUACACUCAUCUAUGUGAUCAUUUUAAAACACUUUUUCAAACAGCAAGAGGAAAACAUGGUGGGAAGCAGCAGUGAGGCUCUCAUCUCCUCUUCUCUCGUCUUGUCGGUUUGUUUUGGUUUAAAGCAUCACGGACAGGAUGGUAAACACCAGCUCGCCGUCUGCAGUUUACUGCCGUCACUUUACAGGAUUUCUAACAGUGUUAGUGAUCUGUGAAGUUGCCCAAGUUGAUGCUUUAAAGGAAGCUGGGUGGUUAUUUCUGGCCAAUCAUUCCUGUCAGUUAUUUUCUAACAUUUUCUCACCAACUUCAUCUCUGAGAUCAGAUUUCGGAGCGCUGCACUUCCGAUAGACAACACAGCACAAAGCCAGCACGCCAGCGGUCACAUGAUCAGACAGGUUGUAAAUAAAUCCACUGUUUCACCAAACUUACCUGAUUUGUUUGUUGUAAAUACCAAUAAAUUUGAUAGAGCCACCUUCUCGUUUACUAUAAGUGUUCACACAUGCUCUUAUAAUGCUGUGGACAAUUACAGCAGACGUUUUAGUUUUUUUGUUUUGGUUUGGUUUACAGCUGAUGGAUCAUUUGAUUUAGACAAUAUGACUGAACUGUGGAUUUCUUUAAAGCUCUCUGACCGCUCUCGUUGCUUCUUGGUGGCCCGGCAAUGGAAGUGGUUCAGUAUUUUUAUUUAUUUUUAUUUUUGUUCGGUCGGUCACCCAACAUUUUGGUUCAGACUGAACUAUCUAAACUAUUAGAUGGAUUGCAAUGAAAUAUUGCACUGACAUUCAUUUUCCCCACGAUGAGUCGUGAUGAAUUGUAAUAACUUUGGCGAUCCCUUAUCUAGCUCCAUCAUCAGGUCAAAAUUUUAAUUUUGUGCAAUACUUUGAUUUACCUGCAAAACGAAUGUCUCAGCUGAGGCUGAUGGGACUAUGUUUAGCGCUAAUUUAGUCUUUGGUGAGCAUGUUAGCAUGGUGACGUUAGCACUGAGCUCAAAGCCCGACUAAGUACAACCUCACAGAGCUGCUAUGGCUGUAGACUCUUAUCCUCGUUAUGUAAUCAUAACCAAUAGGAGUGAUGGCCAAAACUAAACCCACACUGUAAAACAACACUAGGUUGUUUCAGCAUAAAAAUAUGAGUGACAAGGCUGCCCUAACAUUUUUAGUACACUGAAUUAGCACAACAUUUUCGUUUAUUAGUUGUUAUAAUGUUGAAGUCACUGCUUCAACUGCCUCCAUGUAAAUUUAAGAAUUUUAAGGAAAAAAUAGCCUACAGUGCAUUUCUGGGAAUUAUUUCAAAAACAUUUUAUAGUUUCUAAAAAAAAAAACUUAAUUUACCGUGUUGAGUGAACGAUCAGCAGAACAUUAAAUUCAUUGAUCAUUCAUUUGACUUGAACUCUUGAUGUUCUGAAAUGGUUCUAAAUGUGAUAACUAGACUGUUUAAGUUUACUUGACUAGAAACCAGCAGAUCUAUCUAACAACACUGAGUUAAGGAUAAAGGAUGAGUUGAUGUAUUUCUAUACAUUAUGCAGUGGAGGCUGUAAAAAUUUAAAAACCUUUAACCAUGUCACUGCAUAAAUCUACAUGAUGGUUUGUUUGGUCCAGUAUUUAAACAUAUUAGAAGGAUUCACUCAGGCUUUGUUUAUGUGACCUCUGACCUCUGAAGCGGCCUUGACAGUGGCAUUAGCAGAACUGUCUGUGUGAUGAAUAGGACGGCUGCUCUGUGAUUCCUGUACAUGUGGCUCUGCUCCAGGGGCUGAUGGGAGGUUUUCUAGCCUCUGUGGCCUGGUAUCAAUGUCAGCAUGUGUUGUGCCGUUCAGGCAAAUGACGAACAGUAAAACCUGCGAGCCCUGCCGGCUUUAAAUCUGAGGUAACUGCAGCUCGGCUUAAUUAACGCCACACUCUGCAGGGUUACAUCCUCCGAGGACGCUGCACGCACAGCACAGAAAUGAUGUUAAGAUUGAAUCCCUGCUGGGGAUGAAUAUUCAGACUGAACGUUUCAUUCUCAAUCCGCAGUAUACACAAUCCAAGGGACACUUCAAGGAUUCAUGGGAAGGAAAUACAAAGACAUCUUGUUUCCUGAGUGGUCUUUCCUUUUUUUUCUCUGGACUCUCCAUAUUCCUCUCGCCCUCUUUUCCUCUCUGGUAUGAAUUAUUUAACCGUUCUCCUCAGAGUAACCCCCCCAAUCUCUCUCUGUAUCUCUGCUGGGCCAGGCGUCCCAUGCUGCAGCCAAGGACAGAUGCAGAGCUGUGAUGGGCGGCUCGCUCUGCAGCACCAGGGAAAGAAAGAGCCAGUGUAGGAGACAGAACAUGGGUGUUUGCUGCUUAUGUGUGUGUUGGUCUGGUGCUGAGGGGGCGGAGCUCACGGGGAGCAGGUGCGCGUGCACAUAUGUCUGUAAAGAUAGAUUUCUGGGCAGCAGCUCUGGAUGACUACAGCAACACCGUGACUGUCAUAUCGGUGCUGUAUAUUUCCUGGUUUCAUCAUAAUAACUCUGGCAGGCCUCGGGGUUUGUCUCUAGUGGCAGAACAGGCCCCUCUGGAUGAAACCCUCCACCAGACGUUGCAGUACAUUGGGUACCUGCCUCCACUCAGAGAGGACACAUGGUGAUUUAUGCCAAUCUGUGAGAUUGCUGUGUUUAUUUUAUUUUAUUUAUGCAGAACCGUUAUAUCUGAUGAACUGUGAGUGUCCGUUCAGCAGCAGCUCGAUCCUCCAGGAGCCGACAGCUGGAGUCAUUCGUCAUGUGGCUGGAGACACGAGCGGCUUGAUUCAUGGCGGCUUUAAGUCAGCGAGCAUCUCCAGAGGCGCAAUCACAGAACGGCCUCACGUGUUCAUCUCAUGAAGGUUAACUGACACAAUGAUGAUUCACCUUUUAUCCAACCACAGUCACACGCUGGGAUUCUCCAUGGAGAUGUAGUUAAGUGUUUGUUGCUUAAGGAGAUUUUUUCGGUCUAAGUGAAUGAGACGACGUGAUCAAGACAAUUCAAAAUGUUUACUGCCGCCAGUAAACCUGGUGGAGUUACUGUCAUUUAUUUAGAAAAUAAAAUUCAGUUUAACAGCCAGACA
This is a long non-coding RNA of Siniperca chuatsi (mandarin fish), 4135 nucleotides long. RefSeq lists it as uncharacterized. The record is from RefSeq and is a predicted model, not a curated record. Lineage: Eukaryota; Metazoa; Chordata; Actinopteri; Centrarchiformes; Sinipercidae. The transcript has 2 exons.